This is a non-coding RNA of Callithrix jacchus (white-tufted-ear marmoset), 751 nucleotides long. The record is from the annotation of a RefSeq genome assembly. Lineage: Eukaryota; Metazoa; Chordata; Mammalia; Primates; Cebidae.
CUCACUUCUUCCAUGGUGACAGUCUCCAAAGGAGCCUAGCCGGGACAAAUGGCUUCCUCCAGGACAUCCAGAUGUGAUGUGCAGAUAUGCCUCCUCCCGCUCCCCAUUCUGGAGGGAUUCCUAACUUCCAGGAAAGUGUGCAUCCUUCAUAGGGACCAACCGCCUUACCCUUCUAUCGGCCAGGCCUGCUUCAUGACAGGGCCGCUGGACCUGGGCACCCCAGCAGCUGCAGCGGGGAAUGGGUCUGGUGUGUCAGGAGGGCUUUGUGUGUGGGGCUGUGUCACUGUGUGCUGUGCUCGGAGCCGGCACCCAGCUGACCAUCCUUGGUCAGCCCAAGGCCCCCCCGCCCCGGGUCACUCUGUUCUCACCCUCCUCUGAGGAGCUCCAAGCCAACAAGGCCACAUUAGUGUGCCUCAUAAGUGACUUCUACCCAGGAACCAUGACAGUGGACUGGAAGGCAGAUGGCAACCCCGUCACCAAGGACGUGGAGACCACCAAACCCUCCAAACACAGCAGGAACAACUGGGCGGACAGCAGCUACCUGAGCCUGAACCCCAAGCAGUGGAGGUCCAGCAGCAGCUACAGCUGCCACGUCAGGCAGGAGGGGAGCAUCAUGGAGAAGGCAGUGGCCACUGCAGGAUGUCCUUAGGACCCCAACCCUGAUCCCAGGACAGAUUCCCUCCCACCCCAAGUCAUCCAGCCCUUCUGCCUACACCCAAUAAACUCGCAAUAAAUAUCCUCCUUGUCAAUC